CUGUCGUAAAAUAAUUUCUCAAAAGUCUAACAAACUUAAGUGUGUAGGAGAUUGCAAUUUAUGGUUUCAUAAUGAAUGUGCAGCUGUUAAUGACGGUGAAUUGGGUAAGAACGAGGCUGUGAAUAUUAAUAAUUCGUUGUGCAAUUUGUGCAGUACCGGUACUGACAGUAAGAAUCAUGCAAUUGAUAAGUCGUCCGAUACCGGUAAGUCAGAAAACAGCGAUAGUGAUAAUUUUAGUCAGUGUUUUGAACAUAUAAAAAUUUUAACUGAACAAGUUUAUGAAUUAACGAUAAACCAGACUGAGAUGAGAAAACAACUUACUGAAUUACAAAAUGAAAAUGUCAAAUUAAGCUCUGCUUUGACUAGCCAUGGUGUGAUAAUCGGAGACAUUUUAACUUGUGACAAACAGUAUACUCCUACUGAGAAACUUAGAUUAGAUGAUAGUAAUAAAACUAAACGUUUACUUGGGAUCAACUUUCAAUCUUCUAAAAAAGGAACCAAUAAUUAUAAAGGCCUCAAGAGGAACAAUAAUAGUCGGAAUUUGACAUCGGUAGUAACUAGACCUGAAGUUUCUUCUGCUAGCAGAAACAUUAGUCAGCUGCAAGUUAUGGAUAACGAACAGCAGACGGCUCAGGGAGGAUCAGCUGUUCUAAGCAAAACAUAUGACGUAAAUAGGCUGCAGCCUAUUCCUAGCGAUAUGGAAUCAGGAAUGUAACAGUGUUGUUGACAUUGACAAAUAGAUGCGGUUGUCUGUUGAAAGUGAGGACAGUGGUGGAUUUGAAACUGUGAAAAAUAAAAGAAUGCUCAGAAGUGAGAAGCUAAACAGUCGCACUGCUGCUAGAAAACCUGGAAAAUUUAUUCUGGGCAGUGCUAUCAAAGAUAAUAUGCUGGGUGUCGUGGAAAAAUACCGUUAUCUUUUUGUUUCUAGGUUAGCCCCUAGUGUUGACUGUAAUUCAGUCAAGCAAUACUUGGUUGAGGGUGUAAAGGGAGAUUAUGAGGUCUCACAGUUGAGAAACAUAUAUCCCGGUUACCUGUCUUUUAAAAUUGGAGUGCCUGUAUCACUUUGGCACAAAGUAUUUCUGUCUGACUUUUGGCAUACUGGAGUGUAUGUGAGUCGUUUUCGUUUCCCUAAAGUACAUAAGGAAGAACACCUGCAAUCUUUUUUAGAGGAGCAGACAACCACAGAGGCAAACAUUUAACAGUGGGUCUUUCUGAGGGUAAGUGUAAAAUCCUUAAAUCAAAACAGUGGGGAAAUAAAAUCUCUAAGGAUGUAAAUAGCUCUUCUACAUUGACUUGUAUAAAUAGCCUAACUGUGUUGUUGUGGAAUAUUCAGAGCCUACCUAAUAAAAUUGACUAUUUAAACUUGUUAGCAUCGAACAACAGUGUUGAUGUUAUUUGUAUAACGGGGCACUGGUUGUCUAAAGUAGACAUUGUAAAUAUUGAUUUACCAGGAUAUAAAAUUGCACUUUUUUUUGGAAGAACUGUAACUGUGCAUGGUGGUGGUGUUAUUUUGGUCAAAAACCAUAUUGACUCACAAGUUUACCAAAAUUUACCCGAUGUUGCUGAGGAGCUUAUUUUUGAAUCGUCCGAGGUACAUCUGAAAACUUUUAAUACUCUGCUGGUGAAUUUCUACAGGUCACCUAAGUUACAGGUUUACUUCUGAUCCGCCCUCCCGCUCGCCACCAUGGGUGCUCGCUUCCUAAUUGUCUACUUGGGUGUGUUAGCGGGGAUGUGCGGUUUCAGUAGAGGUCUGGGUCAUGUGCAUCAUGUGUCAAGUUUAGGCACAUAAAGAAUGUGCUGGAGCAGACAAAGACAUUUAUGUCUGUGAUUUUUGUGGAACUGCAGAUUUAGCAUUGUAGCUGUUGAUGACUACUCCUUCCUUGUUUUCCUCAUCGGAUUCAAGACAAGACUUCAGAAAAUCAGCUGUCAGCCAGUCUGGGAUAUUGGGUUCUUCCAUUUCUUAACCUGUAAAAGCCAAGAUAGCAACUGUAGAUUCAAACAAUAAACAGAUUAUUUAUUUUCAUAAGUA
This is a long non-coding RNA of Homalodisca vitripennis (glassy-winged sharpshooter), 2029 nucleotides long. RefSeq lists it as uncharacterized. The transcript has 3 exons. The record is from RefSeq and is a predicted model, not a curated record. Lineage: Eukaryota; Metazoa; Arthropoda; Insecta; Hemiptera; Cicadellidae.